Molecule: ribosomal RNA, 520 nt
Filed under: uncultured bacterium
Lineage: Bacteria
Description: bacterial SSU rRNA
Rfam family: Bacterial small subunit ribosomal RNA
Source: RNAcentral
AGAGUUGAUUCUGGCUCAGGAUGAACGCUAGCUACAGGCUUAACACAUGCAAGUCGAGGGGCAGCAUUGUCGAAGCUUGCUUGACAGAUGGCGACCGGCGCACGGGUGAGUAACGCGUAUCCAACCUUCCCCAUAGUAGGGCAUAGCCCGUAGAAAUGCGGAUUAAUACCCUAUGUAUUCCGAGGAUGACAUCUGAUUCGGAACAAAGGUUCACCGCUAUGGGAUGGGGGAUGCGUCUGAUUAGGUAGUAGGCGGGGUAACGGCCCACCUAGCCGACGAUCAGUAGGGUUCUGAGAGGAAGGUCCCCCACAUUGGAACUGAGACACGGUCCAAACUCCUACGGGAGGCAGCAGUGAGGAAUAUUGGUCAAUGGGCGAGAGCCUGAACCAGCCAAGUAGCGUGCAGGAUGACGGCCCUAUGGGUUGUAAACUGCUUUUAUACAGGGAUAAAGUCGGGGACGCGUUCCCCGUUUGCAGGUACUGUAUGAAUAAGGACCGGCUAAUUCCGUGCCAGCAGCCGC